CACCUCCUCCUAGUUGAAACAGCUUGGCUACUUUCUUGAUUUUUGAUUUACGUGGUGUUGGUUUAGACUUUAGCCAAGGAAUUUCCACAUCUUGAUAAACAUAGUUCAGGUUUGUAGACUUAAGGCAAUCCUUAACCUUAACACGAACUGGCUGUGCAUUUUCAUCGUAGAACAAAAAGGUAGUGUUUAGCCAAUCUUUGUCUUUUGGAUCAGAUCGUUUCUUCCCUCCUAAUGUUUUCCAUAUAGUCCACAUUCUAUCCACAUUGGAG
Long non-coding RNA from Quercus robur (English oak), 269 nucleotides. RefSeq lists it as uncharacterized. The record is from RefSeq and is a predicted model, not a curated record. Lineage: Eukaryota; Viridiplantae; Streptophyta; Magnoliopsida; Fagales; Fagaceae. The transcript is spliced from 2 exons.